GACUUCAGUUCUGAUGCCAAAUACACUACGGAUAUCUUUGACCACAUGGAUGUAGAUGGAGGCAAACAAGGUGGAUCCUCCAAGACUGGAUCUAAGGGACAGAAGGGUUACUGAGGUACAACUGGCAUGACUUCCUGUUGGCAAAAUAAAUUUGUAUGAAAACCA
Long non-coding RNA from Oryzias melastigma (Indian medaka), 165 nucleotides. RefSeq lists it as uncharacterized. The transcript has 2 exons. The record is from RefSeq and is a predicted model, not a curated record. Lineage: Eukaryota; Metazoa; Chordata; Actinopteri; Beloniformes; Adrianichthyidae.